This is a ribosomal RNA of Trichomycterus rosablanca, 120 nucleotides long. The record is from RefSeq and is a predicted model, not a curated record. NCBI's taxonomy places the organism in Eukaryota, Metazoa, Chordata, Actinopteri, Siluriformes, Trichomycteridae.
GCUUAUGGCCAAACCACCUUGAGAAUGCCUGAUCUCGUCUGAUCUCAGAAGCUAAGCAAGGUUGGGGCUCAGUCAGUACCUAGAUGGGAGACCGCCUGGGAAUACUGAGUGCUGUAAGCU